GACGAACGCUGGCGGCGUGCUUAACACAUGCAAGUCGAACGGAAAGGCCCUGCUUUUGUGGGGUGCUCGAGUGGCGAACGGGUGUGUAACACGUGAGUAACCUGCCCUUGACUUUGGGAUAACUUCAGGAAACUGGGGCUAAUACCGGAUAGGAGCUCCUGCUGCAUGGUGGGGGUUGGAAAGUUUCGGCGGUUGGGGAUGGACUCGCGGCUUAUCAGCUUGUUGGUGGGGUAGUGGCUUACCAAGGCUUUGACGGGUAGCCGGCCUGAGAGGGUGACCGGCCGCAUUGGGACUGAGAUACGGCCCAGACUCCUACGGGAGGCAGCAGUGGGGAAUAUUGCACAAUGGGCGGAAGCCUGAUGCAGCAACGCCGCGUGCGGGAUGACGGCCUUCGGGUUGUAAACCGCUUUCGCCUGUGACGAAGCGUGAGUGACGGUAAUGGGUAAAGAAGCACCGGCUAACUACGUG
This 468-nucleotide ribosomal RNA is filed under the name uncultured bacterium. RNAcentral's name for it is "partial 16S ribosomal RNA". It matches the Rfam family "Bacterial small subunit ribosomal RNA", at positions 28 to 507 of the family's 1533-position model. The record is from RNAcentral.